GAUGAACGCUGGCGGCGUGCCUAAUACAUGCAAGUCGAGCGAACAGAUAAGGAGCUUGCUCCUUUGACGUUAGCGGCGGACGGGUGAGUAACACGUGGGUAACCUACCUAUAAGACUGGAAUAACUCCGGGAAACCGGAGCUAAUGCCGGAUAACAUGUUGAACCGCAUGGUUCUACAGUGAAAGGCGGCUUUGCUGUCACUUAUAGAUGGACCCGCGCCGUAUUAGCUAGUUGGUGAGGUAACGGCUCACCAAGGCAACGAUACGUAGCCGACCUGAGAGGGUGAUCGGCCACACUGGAACUGAGACACGGUCCAGACUCCUACGGGAGGCAGCAGUAGGGAAUCUUCCGCAAUGGGCGAAAGCCUGACGGAGCAACGCCGCGUGAGUGAUGAAGGUCUUCGGAUCGUAAAACUCUGUUAUUAGGGAAGAACAAAUGCGUAAGUAACUGUGCGCGUCUUGACGGUACCUAAUCAGAAAGCCACGGCUAACUACGUG
RNAcentral lists this ribosomal RNA (497 nucleotides) under uncultured bacterium. RNAcentral describes it as "partial 16S ribosomal RNA". It matches the Rfam family "Bacterial small subunit ribosomal RNA", at positions 28 to 507 of the family's 1533-position model. The record is from RNAcentral.